UACAAUGGAGAGUUUGAUCCUGGCUCAGGACGAACGCUGGCGGCGUGCUUAACACAUGCAAGUCAAGGAGAACGUUUCCUUCGGGGAAUUAUUAAACUGGCGAACGGGUGAGUAACGCGUAGGCAACCUGCCUUAGAG
Molecule: ribosomal RNA, 138 nt
Filed under: Fidelibacterota bacterium
Lineage: Bacteria; Pseudomonadati; Fidelibacterota
Description: partial 16S ribosomal RNA
Rfam family: Bacterial small subunit ribosomal RNA
Source: RNAcentral